UGCGGGGUAGAGCAGUUGGUAGCUCGUCGGGCUCAUAACCCGGAGGUCGGAGGUUCGAGUCCUUCCCCCGCUAC
This 74-nucleotide transfer RNA is filed under the name Salinivirga cyanobacteriivorans. RNAcentral describes it as "tRNA-Met". It matches the Rfam family "tRNA". Rfam says of the family: Transfer RNA (tRNA) molecules are approximately 80 nucleotides in length. Their secondary structure includes four short double-helical elements and three loops (D, anti-codon, and T loops). The record is from RNAcentral. Lineage: Bacteria; Pseudomonadati; Bacteroidota; Bacteroidia; Bacteroidales; Salinivirgaceae.